RNAcentral lists this ribosomal RNA (404 nucleotides) under Agama picticauda. RNAcentral's name for it is "partial 16S ribosomal RNA". It matches the Rfam family "Bacterial large subunit ribosomal RNA", at positions 1951 to 2583 of the family's 2925-position model. The record is from RNAcentral. Lineage: Eukaryota; Metazoa; Chordata; Lepidosauria; Squamata; Agamidae.
CGAAGGUAGCGAAAUCACUUGUCUCCUAAAUAGAGACCUGUAUGAAAGGCCCAAUGAGAAAGAAACUGUCUCUUGAAGUUAGCCAGUGAAACUGAUCUGCCCGUGCAAAAGCAGGCAUAACAAAACAAGACAAAAAGACCCUGUGAAACUUAAAAUAAACGCCAAUAACAUGUCGAUAUUUUUAGGUUGGGGCAACCAAAGAGAAACAAAACCUCUAAAAUACAUUAGACUAACAAGUCUAACCAAACCAACAUGACCCAGUAAAACUGAUUAAUGAACCAAGCUACUCCAGGGAUAACAGCGCCAAAUUCUUGAAGAGUCCACAUCAACAAGAAUCCCUACGACCUCGAUGUUGGAUCAGGAUAACCCAACAGCGCACAAGCUGCUAACGGUUCGUUUGUUCA